This 477-nucleotide ribosomal RNA is filed under the name uncultured bacterium. RNAcentral's name for it is "partial 16S ribosomal RNA". It matches the Rfam family "Bacterial small subunit ribosomal RNA", at positions 28 to 507 of the family's 1533-position model. The record is from RNAcentral.
GAUUAACGCUGGCGGCGUGCAUAACACAUGCAAGUCGAACGAUGAAACUUAAAUGAUUUCUUCGGAAUGAACUUAAGUGGAUUAGUGGCGGACGGGUGAGUAACGCGUGAGUAACCUGCCUUACACAAGGGGAUAGCCGUUGGAAACGACGAAUAAUACCCUAUGAAACUAUCACUUCGCAUGAAGCGAUAGUCAAAGUGUUAGCGGUGUAAGAUGGACUUGCGUCUGAUUAGCUAGUUGGUGAGAAAAAAGCCCACCAAGGCAACGAUCAGUAGCCGGCUUGAGAGAGUGUACGGCCACAUUGGGACUGAGACACGGCCCAGACUCCUACGGGAGGCAGCAGUGGGGAAUUUUGCACAAUGGGGGAAACCCUGAUGCAGCGACGCCGCGUGAUUUAGAAGGCCUUCGGGUUGUAAAAAUCUUUUGUAUGGGAAGAAAAUGACAGUACUAUACGAAUAAGGUCCGGCUAAUUACGUG